RNAcentral lists this long non-coding RNA (1267 nucleotides) under Homo sapiens (human). RNAcentral's name for it is "HSALNT0243264". The record is from RNAcentral. Lineage: Eukaryota; Metazoa; Chordata; Mammalia; Primates; Hominidae.
UGACCCUGCCAAAUCCCCCUCUGUGAGAAACACCCAAGAAUGAUCAAUAAAAAAAAAAAAAAUAAAAUAAAGUAGAAGGGUGGGGGAAAUGUGAUUAUUCCAAACCCGGCGUGUCUUUAUGAUUUUAUAUCCAACUGAUCAUUCAGGGAGGUUAUUAGGACAGUGGUUGAAACAGAAAUUUAGGAUAAUAUUCUAAGAAACAGAAAAAGCAGUCUUCUCAUUCUAACUGGCAAAACCAACAGAGAUAACAAAAAAAAAUUUUUUUUUUCCCCAGGAAGAGCGUGUGCAUUCAAACUUGUUCAUUCAUUAAUUUGAGUUGAAGGGAGGGGGACGUCCUUGGUGGAAAAGUUAAAGAAAGUGCUCUGGAUGAGAAAUUCACAGGGAGACAUAAGACAACAGCUCAGAGUGGAAGAAAUAGAUGUUCUCAGGAAGAGGCUGUAUGCUGUCCUGGUUUCGAGCAUCUGCCCUACAGUCAGAAUGCCUGCAUUUGAAAUAAGUUUCUGCCACGAACUAGCUGUAAGACCGUGGGUGAGUUAUUCAACCUUUCAGCACCUCAUCUCCUAAAAUGGGGAUAAUGUUUUCUUCCCCAAAGACUUGUGGGGAGGGACCAAAAAUUAAAUGGAUUAUUGAAUGUAAAGUGCUUAGACCAUUGGCCAACAGUUCGUCAGUGCCCUAUAACUGUUGCCUGUUUAGCAUGUCAUAAACACAUGACUCGCAUACAUUACAUUAAAAUAGAGCAGAGUAUUUAAGUCCAGGGAAAGGAAACUAUUAUCAGAUGACUGCUCUCUUCCAGGCACUGUAACACUAUUUUCUCAUGAUCCUCUCUUUAAUCUUUGCAAUAACUCACAAGGUAGGUUUUACCAGUUGCAGUUUCCUGAGGAGGAAACCAAAGCUGGGAAUUAUUUUAUCCUCAAAGUGGCAAUAAGUUGUUGGCCACAACCGGGAUAUUCCGCUUUUCUCCUCACAUUUAGAAAUGUCAUGUGGCUGUGAGUCACCUUGUGAGGAUCUUGUCACAUCCUUAGACUGUACUGCCAACACUGAAAAUGCACUGUGGCUGACCCGUUUAAGCAAAGCCAGGCUGCAAUUUUCCUGUGGAUUCCCAUUCCAGCAGUUAGGCUGGGCUCUCCUAUGAUUUUGCUACCACUGCGAUUUUGCUGUGUGGCUACUUUAGAGACUAGAGACUGCCUAAUGUGAGCAAUAGGUGAUCUAACGGACAAUCAUUAUUGGUUGACUCAGCAUCUAUCAGUUGACUAAAGUUGCCUUUAGU